GUGCUUGCUUUGGCAGCACAUAUACUAAAAUUGGAUCGAUAUAGAAAAGAUUAGCAUGGCCCCUGCUUCACGAACGCAAAUUCAUGCGGCAUUCCAUAUUUUU
Molecule: small nuclear RNA, 103 nt
Organism: Otolemur garnettii (small-eared galago)
Lineage: Eukaryota; Metazoa; Chordata; Mammalia; Primates; Galagidae
Source: Ensembl